This 253-nucleotide ribosomal RNA is filed under the name uncultured bacterium. RNAcentral's name for it is "partial 16S ribosomal RNA". It matches the Rfam family "Bacterial small subunit ribosomal RNA", at positions 524 to 776 of the family's 1533-position model. The record is from RNAcentral.
UACGUAGGGUGCGAGCGUUAAUCGGAAUUACUGGGCGUAAAGCGUGCGCAGGCGGUGAUGUAAGACAGAUGUGAAAUCCCCGGGCUUAACCUGGGAACUGCGUUUGAAACUACAAGGCUAGAGUGUAGCAGAGGGGGGUGGAAUUCCACGUGUAGCAGUGAAAUGCGUAGAGAUGUGGAGGAACACCGAUGGCGAAGGCAGCCCCCUGGGUUAACACUGACGCUCAGGCACGAAAGCGUGGGGAGUAAACAGG